Molecule: ribosomal RNA, 497 nt
Filed under: uncultured bacterium
Lineage: Bacteria
Description: partial 16S ribosomal RNA
Rfam family: Bacterial small subunit ribosomal RNA
Source: RNAcentral
GAUGAACGCUGGCGGCGUGCCUAAUACAUGCAAGUCGAGCGAACAGACGAGGAGCUUGCUCCUUCGACGUUAGCGGCGGACGGGUGAGUAACACGUAGGUAACCUACCUAUAAGACUGGGAUAACUUCGGGAAACCGGAGCUAAUACCGGAUAAUAUUUCGAACCGCAUGGUUCGAUAGUGAAAGAUGGCUUUGCUAUCACUUAUAGAUGGACCUGCGCCGUAUUAGCUAGUUGGUAGGGUAACGGCUUACCAAGGCAACGAUACGUAGCCGACCUGAGAGGGUGAUCGGCCACACUGGAACUGAGACACGGUCCAGACUCCUACGGGAGGCAGCAGUAGGGAAUCUUCCGCAAUGGGCGAAAGCCUGACGGAGCAACGCCGCGUGAGUGAUGAAGGUCUUCGGAUCGUAAAACUCUGUUAUUAGGGAAGAACAAACGUGUAAGUAACUGUGCACGUCUUGACGGUACCUAAUCAGAAAGCCACGGCUAACUACGUG